UUGAGCUCGGAUCAGGUAGGGAUACCCGCUGAACUUAAG
Molecule: ribosomal RNA, 39 nt
Filed under: Gyromitra esculenta
Lineage: Eukaryota; Fungi; Ascomycota; Pezizomycetes; Pezizales; Discinaceae
Description: partial 28S ribosomal RNA
Source: RNAcentral